CAAUUGUGUUUAUGUUUGAUCUCCUUUGUCCGUCUUCCAUAUCCCUUAUGGCCACUAAAAACCAAUUUUACAUCUUUGUUCUUUUCCAUAUAAUUUUAUAUGACUUAUUCCAGUCUGUAUCCCAUCUCCCUUUAUUUCCAGUCAUUUCCUUUAUUUUCUUAAGUUGUUGCUUGUAAUGUAAGUUUUGUGUUUGCUAUUUUUGUAUCUGCCAUUUAAAAAUUUUUCUUUUUUCCUGACUGUUGCAGUUGUCUUUCCAUCUCCUUCUGUUGUCUUAUAGUCUCUUUUUUGAACUCAAACCUCACUUUAAAGCCACUUUUUCCCUAGACAUCAAGACUAUAACUUCCUUGGAAGUAUAGAACCUAUCUGUCUCAACUUUUCUCUGGGGAAAAUCUUAUGUUAUCCAUGUGACUCUUGCUUUAUGCUCCAUUCCCCCAUCCCAUGACUUCCUCCCUCCCUUUUGAUUUUUCCCCCUAGUUUUGGUGCAUAGAUAUUAUGCUGGUGCUUUGAAUACAGCUGGCUGUUUGUGAGUAACACGGGUGGGAGAAACGAGCUAGGAGACUUUACAUCCAUUUGUUGUCUUCAACAUUCUGUCACCAAAUCUCUUAUUUCCUCUACCCACAUCUCCUUUCAGAUUUUCGAAUUUGAAUAGUUGAUGAGACAAAUAAAAGAGCCUCUUAAAUAACUGGCUUACUGUGUAAUAAUCCAACAAUUGCUGCCCCUCCCCCCUCCUUCUUUCAUACCACUUCAUCUCUGGCAGCCUUCCUUGGCAAGGAGGCAUAAAAAUAUGCCUUCUCCCUCAGCUAUGUCUCCCAUCAUGGUUCUGCAAGGGACAUCCUCAGUUUUUUUUCCGAGGUACUUCAUGAUCCAGGAUCUAGUCUCUGUCAUCAAAGAACUAGAACAGGCCUUUCAGGACUGCCACAUUUACUCCUAGGGAAAUCUAUACCCUGCUCGGCGCCUGAGGAAAUAUUUGUCAGCUCUCAGCCUUCCCCCUCAUUCUGGUCCAGAUUUUAUGGUCUUUGGCAGGUGUGUUUCUUAAUUUAUAGUUUGGGAUUGUGGCCAUUUCAUUGUUCAUUGAAGACACAGUGUUCCUUCUCUUUCAUUCUUUUAGUGGGUUUUUUGUUGGGUUUCAAAGGAGGAAAAUGGAAUUUUUAAAAAUGCCUUUAGUGACAUCUUUUAACAGAAAGCCCUAAUUAUUAUUAUUUUUCAGUAUAGACAAAAGCUUUUUGUAAGCUUUUGAAUAAAUAUUUUUAAAUUACCAUUACCAUAUUAUCACUUUUUUAACAAGUCAAAACAUCAUCUAGGAGUUUCUCACAUAAUAAAAAUGAAUGUCAGCUUUUUAUUAAACUACUAUGUGAGUUACUUUUGUUCAUAUAAAAGUGGUUAAAUAACUGCCAAUGGCUACUCAGAAGACAUUUUUAAUGAUACAUAUUUGACUUUUUCUCCCCAUCCUGAAUGGAAGGAUGGUUUGUAAACCCUUUUUUCUGGAGCAAAGUCUUCUGUGACUGUGUGUCUGCUAAGUUAAAGUAAGCAUGCCAUCAGAGAAUGUCCACAACUCACAGAGAGAGGAGAUGUCAUAAUCAGUGCCAUUAAUUAUCAUUCACAAAGCAGCAACUUUAUGCCAAAGCUUGUCAUGGUUUCCUCUAUAGACAUCUCGUGGAUUCCUCAGGAAUUGCUCAUGGGAACAAUAUAGAUUGAGUUCUUGCAUCUUCAAAACUAUUUGCCUGUGGCCUUUAAACUUGAAAGUCAGUUUGGCAGGAUAUAAAAUCUUUGGCUCACACUUUCUUUCCUUCAGUAUCUUAAAUAUGUGGCUCCACUGUUUUCUAGUAUGAAGUGGUAUUGUUGAGAAGUCUAGCGUCAGUUUGAUUUUCUUUCCCUAAUAAAUGACUUGAUUCUUUUGCAUAGAUGCACAAAUAUAUUUUUAUCUUUUAGUAGAAUAUGUCCUUUUUUUGAGAUGGAUUCUUGCUCUGUUGGCACAAUCUCAGCUCAUUGCAAACUCUGCCUCCUGGGUUCAAGUGAUUCUCCUGCCUCAGCCUCCCGAGUAACUGAGAUUACAGGAGUGUGCCAUUAAGCCCAGCUAAUUUUUGUAUAUUUUUUAGUACAGACAGGGUUUCACCAUGUUGGCCAGGCUGGUCUUGAACUCCUGGCCUCAAGUGAUCCACCCACCUUGGCCUCCCAAAGUGUUGGGAUUACAGGCUUGAGCCACUGCACCCAGCUGAGUAUGUCUUGAUAUUGACCAUUCUGGGUCAGUUUUCCCAGGUAUAUAGAGUGCCCUUUCAAUAUGGCAAUUUGAGCCAUUAAGUUUUGUUCUGUUAUGAUUUUUGGUGGUUUUCUUUUCCUGGGACUCUAUAUUCAUUGAAUUUUAUUUCCUUGUCUUUUAUAUAUAUUAUCUGCACUUGAAUCUUUUUUUAUUUCUCUUUGAUUCUUGUCAUUUCCCUCCUUUUAUUUUGCUUAUUACACUUUCUCUGCCCAGUCAUUCUUGAGUUUCUUCUAGUGUUUAGUCUACAUUCUGAGAAAUUUACCCUUAGUUUUAAAAAUUCUUUUCUAAACCGUCAGCUAUCAUUUUACAUUCUCCUGUUAUUUAUUCAUCUCAUUUCUUGAAUUUUCUAUUUCUGAUUUGUUUCUACAGUUUUCUUUUUGUUUCUCUUAGCUCAUUUUGUAACACUGAGUAUAUUUUCAUCUGUUUAAAGGCCAAAUUUUCAUUAUGUUGGUAUGCUAUUGAUACUUUUAUCUUACUGUAUCUUUUUGGAGGUUUGCAGAUGUUCUUAUUAAAUGAAUUAGAUUGUUUUCUGUACUUUUAGGGAAAGAGAGUGUAAGCAGGAGGGAAUAUUUCAGGAUAGUUAUCUUCACUGUUAAGAGCUUCCUCCUCUGGUGUUAAAAGGAAGUAUUAUAUGCAACAAUUUGGCCACAAUUCUGGGAUUUGUAUCUCUGGACUCCCCAACUCCCAAGGAUCUGAACAUCUCUUUCCUUUACCUCUUGUGUUCCUUCUCCACUUGGAUUAUAAUUCUGACAACUUUUCUUGGGCACUUCUUAAGCCCUUUAGUGGUUCUGCACAAUCUUUCUUGCAUCCAAUCACACUCUGGAACCAAUCACACUCUGGAGUCCUUCCUCAAUUUGGCUGAUUGGUCUCAGACCUAUUUGCUGAGGGUUCUACUCAGAGUAGGAUCAUUUUCUUGUCAUGCUAUUUAUUCGUGACAUCUGUGUUCCACAACUCUUGGCCCUGUCUCUCCUCUUUUUUAUCGCUGCCCAGCUGCUAAUUCUGCCAUUUCUGAACAGUGUCUGCACUGUGUGGUUUGGCCUCACCUACUUAUAUUACUUUUGUUAAAAUUACCUCUGUUGUUUUUCCUUUCCUUCUGCAUUCCUAAUUGCUCUGCUUUUUGUUUUUUAAUGAGGGAUUUGGGAAUAGUAACUAUGCUACUACCAUGAUUUUGCUUCACUAGAAGCCUUCAAAUAAUUUUUAAAGGGACUACUGUCAAUAAUAUACUUUUAGAUAUCAUGGUAGUCAUCUUCCAUGGUUUCAACUACCACAUAUGUGUUGAUGAUUCACGCAAUUAUAACUUUAAUGUAGAUCUUUUCUGAGCUGUAAUUCUUUACUGAUACCUUUAUAGACUCUCAAACUACAUGUAUGUCUAAAAUAAGCCAUUUUUCUCUCCCUUUCAAGUCACUUUCUGAAUAUGCUUCUUCUUUCUAAUUAAUUUUAAAAUUAAUGUCGUCUCAUUCAUUAGCUUCCCAGGACAAAAAUACAAAACACUCCUCUUUUUUGCUCAUGUCCUGUCAAUUCAAUUGCCAAAUAUGUCAGUUAAAUCUCCUACAUAUUGUUCAAAACCACUUACUACUCUCUAUCCCAACUGCUUCUUCAUUCUCUCUUGUUGAUUUUAUUCCAAUCACCAUCUAACAAGGUUUUUCAAGCUUCAAUUCCUUCUUCCUCUAAUACCUUAUCCAUAGUGCAGCCAGAAUUAUAUGUCUAAAACCUUACAUUUUACUUCCCCAUUCAAACACCUUCCAACAUGCUCUCAAUGACUGUAGGGAUAAAUCCAAUACCCUAAAGCCUUCACAAUCCAGCUGUAAUCUCUCCUUUCCAUCUCACCUACCAGCACUUACUCAGUGCAUCCUGUUCUCAAGCCACACAAGACUGAUAAACUCUCCCAAAUCUGUGCCUUUAUAUACACGCUUGUCACUCUAGAACACCCCUCUGUCUCAUUUCCACACAGUUUGCACUCAUCUCUUAAGACGCAACUCCAAAGCUGCAUCUUAUGCAACACUUUCCAGUGACCCAGGCAGACUUAAACGUUUCCCUUCAAUUUUCACGUAGCUCUGUAGACAGAACACCUUUAUUGGGCAUUUUUUACAUGGUUGUAAAUGUCAUUUCUUCUGCCUGCCUUUUUAAACAGUGAGCUCACUGAAAACUAUUCUUAGUUGUCUCUGGUUCCUGGUGCCUAGGGUAAUCAACAUAGCAAUGCUCAGUAAAUGUUGAUUAAAUGAGUGAGUUUGUAAGGCUAUGGAAAUAGGCCUAUUUAGAGUAGAAGAAGCUUUUAUAAAUCUUUAUACUUCAGCCAAAAAGUGUUUACCAAGCACCAAGUGGGAUACAAACAUGUGCAGAAAUGGGUCUUCCCCUCUGGCAGUUACUUUGGGUCAGGAAAAUAAAGUGUAUUCAGGUUAUGUGUGUGUGUGUGUGUGUGUGCCUGUGCGGUGUGUGUGUGUAACUUAAAACACAUGGAACAGAUAGAACUACAUGAAUUUGAAUCCACUGGGCAUAUUUUGGAUGGGUCAUAAUAUAAGAGUAAACUGUCAGAUUCAGUCUAAAAAGACACUAUUAUUCCAGUAGAAGAGUGCUUAGCAAAAAGGGCAGAGCAAGAUGGCAGAAUAGAAGGCUACAUUGAUCAUCCCCCUACUCCCACUACCACAGGAAAACUAAAUUUAAACAAUUAUCUGUGAACAAAAAAGCACCUUCAUAAGAACUAAAAAUUGGGUGAGCCAUCACAGUACUUGUUUUUAAUUUCUUAUCACUGAAAGAGGCACUGAAGAAGGCAGAAAAGAUGGCCUUAAAUCACCAACACCACCCCUUCCCCAUUCCCUGGCAGUGGCUGCAUGGCACGGAGAGAGAAUCUGUGCACUUCAGGGAGGGAGAGCACAGCAACUGGGGGACUUUGCAUUGAACUCAGUGCUGCCCUGUCACAGUGGGAAGUGAAACCAUGUUGAACUCAGCUGAUACCCACAGAGACAGCAUUUGGACCAGCCCUAGCCAGAGGGGAAGUGCCUAUUCCAGUGGCCGGAGCCUGAGUUUCAGCAGUCUCACCACCAUGGGCUAAGGUGCUGUGGGGUCCUAAGUGAACUUGAAAGGCAGUCUAGGAAGGACUCAGAUUCUUAGGCAAGUCUGAUGGUGUUCUGGGGUUAGAGCCAGUGGACUGGGGCAGUGUGUGACCUAGUGACACACCAGAUGGGGCAGCUGGGGAAGUACCUGCACUACCCCUCCCUCAACCCCAAGCAGCACAGCUUGUAGCAAUGAAAGCAACUCCUUCCUUCUGCUUGAGGAGAGGAGAGAGACCAGUCAAGAGGACUUUGUACUUUGUCUUGCAUCUUGGAUACAAGCUCAGCCACAGACAGUGCACUGGGCAGAGUCGUGAAGCCCCCAUGCCAGGUCCUAGCUCCUGGGUGACAUUUCUAGACACACCCUGGGCCAGAAGGGAACCCACUGCCUUGAAGAGAAAGACCAAGUCCUGGCAGCAUUAAUUAUCUGCUAACUAAAGAGCCCUUGGGCCCUGAAUAACCAAAAGUGAUAUCCAGGUAGUAUGCCAUGGGCCUUGGAUGAGACUUUGAGAUAUGCUGGCUUCGGGUAACAGCUCAGCACAGUGGAUAGAGUAUCUAGUGGGCUUCAGGGGUCCCUGAGUUCAGGCCUAGGCUUUCGGACAGCAUUUCUGCACCUUCCCUGGGCCAGAGGUGGGAGCCUACUACCCUGAAGGGUGAAUCCCAGGUUUGGCAGCAUUCACAAGCUGGCUGAAGAGCCCCUAGGCAUUAAGUGAUCAGCAAUGGUAGCCUGGCAGAACUCUCUACGGACUGCUGAUGAUGAUGGCCAUGGGGAGAGCUCCUCUGCCUGUGGAAAGGGGAGGGAAGAGGGGGAAGGAUUUUGUUGUAUGGUUUCAGUGGCAGCUUAGCCACAGGGUAAUAGAAUACCAGGUAGAUUUCUAAGGUUUUUGACUUAAAUCCCUGGCUCUCAGAAAGUAUCUCUGGACAUGCCCAGGGCCUGAAAGAACUUGCCUCCCUGAAGGGAAGAACAUAAGCCUGAAGGGAAGGACAUAAGCCUGGAUGGCUUCAACUCUUGCUGACUGUAGCCCUAGGGCCUUGAGUGAACAUAGGCAGUAACCAGAUAGUGGCUGCAGUGGGUCUUGGGUGAAACCCAGUGCUAUUCUGGCUUCAGGUCUGACCCAGGGCAGUUCCAGUGUUGGUGGCCAUAGGGGUGCUUGCAUCACCCCAAUCCCAGCUCCAGGUGGCUCAGCAGAGAGAGAGAGAGAGACAGAGACAGAGGCAGAGAGAUGCUGUUUGUUUGGGAGAAAGUAAAGGAAGAGAACAAGAGUCUCUUCCUGGUAAUCCAGAGAAUGCUUCUGGAUCUUAUCCAAGACCACCAAAGUGAUAUCUCUAUGAGUGUGCAUGAAGCACAGUGUUACUGGGCUUGGGGCCCAAGUCCCUUUGAAUACUUGGAAAGGCUUCCCAAGAAGGACAGGCAUAGACUGUAAAGCCCAGAUUGUGAAGACUACAAUAAAUACAUAAUUAUUCAAUGCCCAGACACCAAAGGACAUCUACAGGAAAACAUGACUUCACCAAAUGAACUACAUCAGGCACCAGGGACCAAUCCUGGAGUGACAGAGAUACAUGACAGAGAAUUCAAAAUAGCCAUUUUGAGGAAACUCAAACAAAUUCAAGACAAUAUAGAAAAGGAAUUCAGAAUUCUAUCAGAUAAAUUUAACAAAGAGAUUAAUUUUUAAAAUCAAGCAGAAAUUCUAGAUUUAAAAAAUACAAUUGACAUACUGAAGAAUGUAUCAGAGUCUCUUGGCAGCAGAACUGAUCAACCAGAAGAAAGAACUGGUGAGCCUGAAAACAGGGUAUUUUAAAAUACAGUUAGAGGAGACAAAAGAAAAAAGAAUAAAAAAUAAUGAAGCAUGCCUACAAGAUUUAGAAAAUAACCCUGAAGGGGCAAAUCUAAGAGUUAUUAGUCUUAAAGGGGAGGUAGAGAAAGCGAUAGGGGUAGAAAAAUUAUUCAAAGGGAUAUCAGAGAACUUCCCAAACCUAGAGAAAGAUAUUAACAUUCAAGUGCAAGAAGGUUAUAUAAUACCAAGCAUACUUAGUGCAAAGAGGACUACCUCAAGGAAUUUAAUAGUCAAACUCCCAAAGGUCAAGGGUAAAUACCAUAAAAGCAAAAAGAGAAAAGAAACAAAUAACACACAAUGGGGUUCUAAUAAGUCUGGAAACAGACUUUUCAGUGGAAACCUUAAAGGCCAGGAGAGAGUGGCAUGACAUAUUUAAAGUGCUGAAGGAACAAAACUUUUACCCUAGAAUAGUAUAUCCAGUGAAAAUAUCCUUCAAGCAUUAAGGAGAAAUAAAGGUCUUCCCAGACAAACAAAAGCUGAGGGAUUUUAUUAACACCAGACCUGUCCUAUAAGAAAUGCUAAAGGGAGCUCUUCAGUCUGAAAUAAAAGGAUAUUAAUAAGCAAGAAGAAAUCACCUGAAGGUACAAAACUCACUGGUAAUAGUAAGUACACAGAAAAUCAUGGAAUAUUAUAACACUGUGAUUGUGGUGUCAAAACUAAUCUUAAGUAGAAAGUCUAAAUGAUGAACCAAUCAAAAAAUAAUAAAUACAACAACUUUCAAGCCAGGAUAGCACAAUAAAACAUAAAGAGAAACAAAAAGUUAAUAAGUGAGAGGACAAAGUAAAAGUAUAGAGUUUUCAUUAGUUUUCUUUUUGUGUGUUUGUUUACACAAUGUGUUAAGUUGUCAUCAGUUUAAUAUAAUGGGAUAUAAGAUAGUAUGUGCAAGCCUCAUGGUAAUCUCAAAUCAAAAACCAUACGAUGGAUACAGAAAAAAUAAAAAGCAAGAAAUUAAGUCAUACCACCAGAAAAAAAUCACCUGUACUAAAAAGAAAACAGGAAGGAAGGAAAGAAGAAAGAGAAGACUGCAAAACAAACGGAAAACAAAUAACAAAAUGGCAGGAGAAAGUCCCUACUUAUCAACAGUAACACUUAAUGUAAAUGGACUAAACUCCCCAAUCAAAAGGCACAGAAAGGCUGAAUGGAUGAAAAAACAAGAGCCAUUGAUCUGUUGCCUACCUACAAGAAGCACAUUUCACCUGUAAAGAUACACAUAGACUGAAAAUAAAGGGAUGGAGUUAGAUGUUCCAUGCCAACGGAACCCCAAAAACAGCAGUAGUGCUAUGCUUAUAUCAGACAAAAUAGAUUUCAAGGCAAAAACUGUAAGAACAGGCAAAGAAUGUCAUUGUUUAAUUUAUAGAGGGGUCAGUUCAGCAAGGGGAUAUAACAAUGUUUUUUUCUUUUUUUUUUUUUUUUGAGGUGGAAUCUUACUCUGUCGCCCAGGCUGGAGUGCAGUGGCACGAUCUUGGCUCACUACAACCACCACCUUCCAGGUUCAAGUGAUUCUCUCGCCUCAACCUCCCAAGUAGCUGGGAUUACAGGUGCUUGCUACCACGCCUGGCGGGAUAUGACAAUUGUAAACAUAUAUGCACUAAACACUGGAGCACUCAGAUAUAUAAAACAAAUAUUAUCAAAGCCAUAUAGAGAUAUAGGCCUCAAUACAAUGAUAGCUUGAGUCUUCAACAUCCCACUUUAAACACUGGACAGAUCUUCCAGGCCGAAAACCAACAAAGAACCAUCCAAUUUAAUCUACACUAUAGGGCAAUAGAUACAGAACAUUCCAUUCAGUGGCUGCAGAAUACACAUUCUUCUCUUCAGCACAUGGAUUAUUCUCAAAAACAGACCAUAUGUUCAGCCCUACAGAAGUCUUAAAACACUCAAAAAACUGAAAUGACAUCAAGCACCUUUUCUGACCACAAUGGAAUGAAAUUAGAAAUCAAUAACAAGAGAAAUUUUGGAAAAUGUACAAAUACACGGAAUUUAAACAAUAUGCUCCUGAAUGACAAGUGGGUCAAUAAAGAAAUUAAGAAGGAAAUUGAAAAUUUUCUUAAAACAAAUGAUAAUGGAAGCACAACAUACCAAAACCUAUGAGAUACAGUGAAAGCAACACUAAGAGGGACAUUUAUAGCUAUAAAUGCCUACAUCAAAAAAGAAGAAAAACUUCAAGUAAACAACCUAACAAUACAUCUUAGCUAGAAAAUCAAGAGCAAAACAACCCAAAAUUAGUAGAAGAAAUACGAUACAAACGAUCAAUGAACCAAAAAGUUGGUUUUUUGAAAACAUAAAUAAAAUCGACAAAACUCUUGCCAGACUAAGAAAACAAGAGAGAACACCCCAAUAAAUUAAAUCAGAGAUGGAAAAGAAGACAUUAGAACUGAUACUGCAAAAUUCAAGGGAUCAUUAGUUGCUACUAUGGCAAUUACAUAUCAAUAAAUUAGAAAAUUUAGAAGAAAUGGCUAAAUUCCUAGACACAUACAACCUACCCAGAUUGAACCAUGAAAAAAUCCAAAACCUGAACAGACCAAUAACAAGCUAACAAGAUCAAAGCCAUAAUAAAAUGUCUCCCAGUAAAGAAAAGCCUGAGAUCCAAUGACUUCACUGAUGGUUUCUACCAACAUUUAAAGAACUAAGACCAAUCUUACUCGAACUGUUCUGAAAGAUAGUGGAGGAUAGAAUACUUCCAAACUCAUUCUAUCAGGCCAGUAUUAAUCUGAUACCAAAACCAGACAAAAACACAUCAAAAAGAGAAAAAGAAAACUACAGGGCCUGAUGAACACUGAUGCAAAAAUUCUCAACAAAAUAUCAGCAUAGUGAUUUCAACAACACAGUAAAAGAUCAUUCAUCAUGACCAAGUGGGAUUUAUCCCAGGGAUGCAAGGAUGGCUUAACACAUGCAAAUCAAUCAAUGUAAUACAUCAUAUCAACAGAAUGAAGAACAAAACCAUAUGAUCAUUUUAAUUAAUGCCAAACAAGCACGUGAUAAAAUUUAACAUCCCUUCAUGACAAAAAUCCUAAAAAAAAGGAGUAUAGAAGAAACAUACCUCAACACAAUGAAAGCCAUGUAUGACAGACCCACAGCUAGUAUCAUACUGAAUGGGGAAAAACUGAAGGCUUUUCCUGUAAUAUCUGGAAAAAGACAAGGAUGCUCACUUUCGCCACUGUUAUUCAACAUAGUCCUAGUAGUCCUAGUUAGAGGAAUCAGGUGAAAAAAAAAAAAAAGAAAAGAAAAGAAAUAAAGGGCAUCCAAAUUGGAAACGAAGAAGUCAAAUUAUCUCUGUUCCCAGAUGAUAUGAUCUUACAUUUGGAAAAACCUAAAGACUCCACCAAAAAACUAUUAGAACUGAUAAACAAAUUCAGUAAAGUUGCAGGAUACAAAAUUAACAUACAAAUAUCAGUAGCAUUUCUAUAAGCCAACAGCGAACAAUCAAAAAAAUCAAGAAAGUAGUCCCAUUUACAAUAGCUACAAAUAAAAUGAAAUACCAAGUAAUCAACUUAACCAAAGAAGUGAGAGAUCUCUAUAAUGAAAACUAUAAAACAUUGAUGAAAGAAAUUGAAGAGGACUAUAAAAAAUGGAAAGAUAUUCCAUGUUCAUGGGUUGGAAGAAUCAAUACUGUUGCAAUGUCCAUACUACCCAAAGCGAUCUACAGAUUCAAUGCAAUCCCUAUCAAAAUAUCAAUGACAUUUUUCACAGAAAUAAAAAAAUCCUAAAAUUUAUAAAGAACAACAAAAGACCCAGAAUAGCCCAAGCUAUCCUGACUAAAAAGAACAAAACUGGAGGAAUCACAUUAUCUGACUUCAAAUUAUACUACAGAGAUAAUAGUAACCAAAACAGCAUAGUACUGGUAUAAAAACAGACACAUAGACCAAUGGAACAGAGUAGAGAUCCCAGAGAUAAAUCCAUAGAUCUACAGUGAACUCAUUUUUGACAAUGGUGCCAAGAUCAUACAUUGGGGAAAGGACAAUCUCUUCAAUAAAUGAUGCUGGGAAAACUGGAUAUCCAUAUGCAGAAGAGUAAAACUAGACCCCUCUCUCUUAAUAUAUACAAAAAUCAAAUCAAAAUGGAUUAAAGCCUUAAGUUUAAGACCUCAACUAAGAAACUGCUACAAGAAAACGUUGGGGAAACUUUUCAGGACACUGCUCUGGGCAAAUAUUUCUUGAUUAAUACCCCACGAGCACAGGCAAAGUAAAAAUGGACAAAUGGGAUCACAUGAAGUUAAAAAGCUUCUACACGGCAAAUAAAACAAUCAACAAAGUAGACACAACCCACAGAAUUGGAGAAAAUAUCUGAAGAUUACCCAUCUGACAAAGGUUUAAGAACCAGAACAUAUAAGGGGCUCACACAACUCUAUAGGAAAAAAAAAUCUAAUAAUCCAGUUUAAAAAUGGGAAAAGAUCUGAAUAGACAUUUACCAAAGAAGACAAACAAAGGGCAAGCAGGCAUAUGACAAGGUGAUCAACAUCAAUGAUCACCAGAGAAAUGCGAAUCAGAACUACAAUGAGAUACCAUCUCACUCCAGUUAAAAUGGCUGUUAUCUAAAAGACAGGCAAUAACAAAUGUUGGCAGGGAUGUGGAGAAAAGGGAACCCUUGUACAUUGUUGGUGGGAAUGUUAAUUAAAACAACUACUAUGGAGAACAGUUUGGAGGUUCCUCAAAAAACUAAAAAUAGAGCUACCAUAUGAUCUAGAAAUCUCACUCCUAGGUAUAUACCAAAAAGAAAGGAAAAUCAGAUACUAAAGAGCUAUCUAUAAUCCCAUGUAUACCACAGCCGUAUUCACAAUAGCCAAGAUAUGGAAACAACCUAAGUGUCCGUCAGCAGACUAAUGGAUAAAGAAAAGGUGGUACAUAUACACAAUGGAGUACUAUUCAGCCAUAAAAAAGAAUGAGAUCCUAUCAUCUGCAACAACAUGGAUGGAACUGAAGGUCAUUAUGUUAAGUUAAAUAAGCCAGGCACAGAAAGACAAACAUCACAUGUUCUCACUUAUUUGUGGGAGCUAAAAAUUAAAAUAAUUGAACUCAUGGAGAUAGAGAGUAGAAGGAUGGUUAUCAAAGGCUGGGUAGGGUAGUUGGGCAGGGAUGUGGGGAUGGUUAAUGAGUACAAAAAAUAGUUAGAAAGAAUCAGUAAGACCUAGUAUUUGCUAGCACAACAGGGAGACUAUAUCCAAAAACAAUUCAAUUGCAUUUUUAAAAUAAUUAAAAUAAUAUAAUUUGGAUUGUUUAUUAUACAAAGGAUAAAUGCUUGAGGGGAUGGAUACCCCAUUCUCCAUUUUGUGAUUCUUACACAUUGCAUAACUGUUUCAAAGUAUCUCAUGUACCCCAUAAAAUAUAUAUUUACUAUAUACCCACAAAAAUUAAAAAUAAAAAAAUUCAAAAAGAAUUGUUAUCUGCCUAGUGAUUCAUAAUAAAAAACUCAUAAUUAAUAACACAUAAUAAAAAUGAGUAAAAGAAGAGUUUUAUAAUAAACCUUAAGAGCUGAACUGGUCUUUUAUUCACAGAAAGAAUAUCUGAACAUACAGUUAAUGCAUUUAGAUCAACAACCUUCGAUCAAGACCAAAUUAAAUCUGUAGGAUAAUGAUUCAUAGAAUGUAUCUUCACCCAGAGGUCUGAUAUUUCCUGGCCCCAAGAAACACCAGUUAUGAAGAUAAAGAUAAAAAAUGUCUUAAGGAAGCCCAACCAAGUUUCUUAGACUUUGUAUCAAAGAGCUCAGAGAUGGGAGCUUCUUGAGGGCACUUCCAUCCUAAGCACCAUCGAUAAGCUGAAAGUGUUUCAUUCAUAACUCUGUGUGUGUGUGUGUGUGUGUGUGUGUGUGUGUGUAAAUAAGCUUUUGUGCACUUGUGUGCUGGUAAAUGUUUCAAAACAUGUUCUUGGAGGAAAUAGCCAUGAUGGUUUUGCCAGUUUCUGUGGUGUAAAUACUCCCAUCAUGGCUGAUUUCCAGCUAUCAACCCUAUGUGACUGAGCACAAGUUGGGAUGAGAUCAUAAGUGGUUCUCACUGGCCAGUAAGAACUGACUUCAACACACUACUUCCUUCACGAGUUGUAAUUCAUAGUUCUAUGGAAAAUCGGGGAAUGCCAUAUUUUAAAAUCCAUGUAUCCUGGACAUAUCUUGGGUUGUUCUUUAUAACAUUUUUCAGUUAUAGAGAUAUUUUCCUUUUUACUUAGCAUAUUAGAUAUAUUAAUAGUUCAAGAGUUGAAGAGUUGGCAGAUACGAAUAACAAUAUAGGAGGUGAAGAACUCAGAGAUGAUCAUAAGUGUUGGAAGACAGUGGUACAUGGACAGAGACAGGAAGUGGGGAGAACUGGUUGGGAGAGAGUGAAGAGGCUGUCCCUUUGCUUUCCCACGAUGAGGAUAUAAACUAGAUGGAGAGCUGGAGACGUGGUUAGAAGGUUAGAGACUUUCUGGAGAUUGAAAAUCAUCCAUGGGAGUUAAAGAAUUCAGGACACAGAAUCAACCACAGUGGAAAAGUGUAGCAAUGGAAAAGGAUCAAAUAUUGGGCUUUUUGAGAUUUGGAAGAAGAGAAGCCAACAGAAAAGACAUAGUCAGAUAAGUAGAAAAAAUAAAAACACCAAGAAACAUGAUGAAGGAAAAAGGUGAAGAUAAACAAAAUAAUCAAAUGUUCCAUCAAAGUACAGAAAAUAAAGGAGGCUAUUUCAGCCAAGAGGUGGGACACAAAACAGGCUACAAGGGGUAUGUGGAUCACAGAAAUUCACCAUUUGGGAAGAUUGCCUGAUAUGAGUCAAUGCUCCUUUCUUAUAACUUCAAAAGCAGUGUAAGAACUGAAGGCUCCUUUCUGCCUAAGGCUUGGUCCAGAUCUAAGGAACCAAGGCAAACUCAUAAGCCAAUGAAUGGACAGAGCUUAAACAUAUCAUGAAUAGAGCUAGUGUCGGGGAAGAGGAAGAUUCUGGCUGCAAGCCAGAGGCCUGGCUCCGUGAAGAAUGGAAAUUCUGGCGUGGCUGCUCAGCCUUUCUGUGUCCAGGGUUAGUGGCCAGUUUCAACGUGGAAGGACCUUAUCCAGAACCACAAAAUGGAUGGCUGCCCCCAAGUGAGCCAUCCCAUGGCAGAAGGACUAGUUUGGCAGGAAGCUUUAAGAAGGGUGGCAAUUUGGUAUCAGAGUCUCUGCCAAAAAAAAGCAACUCUGAUGAGAAGAAAUUUUAACUAACAGGAGAAAGCUCCAUCCAGUAGAAAACUAAAAUUUCUGUGCAACAGGUUGUGUGCCUGACUGCGCUCAAGCCUCACCAAUGGCUUUUGGUGUCACAGGCUGAGGCUGCCUCUGUUUUCUUGUGCGUGUAUAUACGCUUGCCCUUCCUCCCAGAUAGGGGCUUCCUAGAUGUGAGGUCAUGACUGGAAGCCAGAGUGUCUUGUUUGAGUUUGGGCUGACCUCUUGGAGCACAGAAGAGCUUGCUCUUUGCCCUGAUGAAUGGUUGCCUAUGAAACUAAACAGCCUCCAGUCCAAACCAGCUCACAUGGGUAGCCUCCUCUUAAGUUUCCUUUUCUUCUUUGUCUCAACAAAAACCCCUCCAAUGAACGAUCUGCCUCUCCUGUGUUAGCAGACCUGAGCUCUUCUAAAGAUCACUAUUUCAACACCACUUUGGAUUUUCUCUGACUUUGCAAAGACUGUUGAGGAAUAGUAUUUACUUGCUUAGAGCUCUGAACAACUGGAGGACCUGUUGGCAAUCCCAUGGCCACUGGCCUCAAGGACAAUAUAAACCAGAUGGGAAGACCAUGUGGAUGCUCAGGAAAUAGCUACCAUUGCAAAACAGUAAAAAUUAGGGUCACUGUGAUUUAAAAGUCGGAAAUGCUGGGUGACUUUAGGAAGUGGAAAACUUCACAGAAGAGGAAAGCUCACAGUUGGACCAAGGAUUUGAAAGCCACAAGAGCAAAGACACACAAGUGGGCCCACAUAGAUGUGCAAUGGUGUUACUUUAGUGAUACGCAACUGGCAACUGUAAAUUCAGUUAUUCACUGAGAGAGCGGACACGGAGGAAAGUGGUGAUGUCACCACUAGCCUCCACUCUAAGACACCAGUGACAACCGUUUGUUCCACCAGGCAGGAUAUAACUGUGAAGGCCUGUUUGUUCUUAGAGGAAAGAAGCAAGGACAGAAGCAAAGUGGGGUAUUUUAGAGCUUGGCAGUGGUUCUAGGUGCUCCCUCGCUGCAUCCAGAAACAAGCUGUCUGGUUUCUCCUCCUCAAUAUCUGCCCCUUUGCUGUUCUUCCCUUUUCUUGCCUCCUCCCUUUAGGUUAGGGCAGCACUUGAUCAAAGAAGUCACUACCCAGGGCCAUUCCUACCUUGGACACAUGUAAGGGCUAACUCACCCAAACAAGAAUGAGAGGCAGGUAAGGAAACACUUCUCACACUGCAAGUGUAUCAUUACAACACCCAGGGAUCUUGUUGAAAUGCAGACUCUGAUUCCUUAGGUCUGGGUGGGACUUGAGAUUCCUCAUUUCUUAUAAGUUCCCUGCUGAUGUCAAUUUGACUAGUCCUUGGGCCACACUAAGUGUAGCAAGGAGAAUCACGCAUCACAAUGCCAAGAUUCUCCCCACAAAAUUGUGGCCCUUCCUUCUGUCCCUAACUUUAUGGAAACAGUAACUGGAACCUUCAUCUCUCCUGACAAUGGGGCAAGGGAGACAACGUCUGCUUCUGGGGCUAUCGUAGGAUGAUAUGAGAGGAGCAGGUCAUGACUAUGCCUGGCACUGAACCUAGGACUCAGAGCAGGUUGUGAAUGUCACUCACUGUCCUUCCUUAUUUCUUGAGCCUGCAGAUGUUAAGGAUGCAGCAAGACUGGAGCAAAGGGCUGGAAGAAGAAUAAGGACUGGAGUAAGAGAGCCAUGAGUGCAAGAAAGGCCC
Long non-coding RNA from Homo sapiens (human), 15975 nucleotides. RefSeq lists it as uncharacterized. The transcript is spliced from 3 exons. The record is from RefSeq and is a predicted model, not a curated record. Lineage: Eukaryota; Metazoa; Chordata; Mammalia; Primates; Hominidae.